AGCCCAUGAGAAUCGGAGUUUAUAUGCAUAUGCUUAUCCGAUUGAUUGGUUUUAUGUCAAAUUAAUUGGGUCUUGCUUCAUAAGUUAUCGUUUGAUUAGCGAUUGGAAAAGGUGACGGGGAAAAUAUUUUGUCCAUUGAUGGUUGAUCUGGUUUCUUUUUUAGUUUUAAGCUUUAUGAAAUUUGGAGCUUUCUCAAUUGAAGUUAAACUCGUGCAUGGAAUAACUUGAUCGAUAGGUGGCUG
RNAcentral lists this unclassified non-coding RNA (242 nucleotides) under Hevea brasiliensis (rubber tree). The record is from RNAcentral. Lineage: Eukaryota; Viridiplantae; Streptophyta; Magnoliopsida; Malpighiales; Euphorbiaceae.